Molecule: small RNA, 302 nt
Filed under: Macaca mulatta (Rhesus monkey)
Lineage: Eukaryota; Metazoa; Chordata; Mammalia; Primates; Cercopithecidae
Description: Metazoan signal recognition particle RNA (ENSMMUG00000050628.1)
Source: RNAcentral
GCUGGGCAUGGCGGCGGCGCCUGUAGUCCCAGCUACUCGGGAGGCUGAGGCAGGAGAACGGCGGGAACCCGGGAGGCGGAGCUUGCAGUGAGCCGAGAUCGCGCCACUGCACUCCAGCCUGGGCGACAGAGCGAGACUCCGCCUCAAAAAAAAAAAAGAAAAAGAAAAAGAAGUAAAAGGAAGUUUUUUGUUUGUUUUUUUGAGACGGAGUCUUGCUCUGUUGCCCAGGCUGGGGUGCAGUGGUGCGAUCUCAGCUCACUGCAAGCUCCGCCUCCCGGGUUCCGGCCAUUCUCCUGCCUCAG